GGACAAAAAAAAAAGUUGAAGCUUGGAAACAGAUCCUGGCCUGAGAGUUUAAUCAACAAAGUUACUGGAACAUGUGACAAACACCAUGAAGAUGGUGGUCUCCAGGGUGAAGGCACCAACUGGCCCAACGCUGUGAACAACCGUUUAAUCCAUUCAACUUUCAGAGAAGAUGACUGGUUUUGUCAUGAGAGCAGCAGAGCCAUGCUAAGUAUCCACAAUUACAGCUACCAUCUUCACCUAUUGCCAUGAAAUGCAUCAAUGCAGGGUUCUAGAAGCAUAAUCAGUAUUUUGGGGACGAGGAAGAUGAUGAGGAGGCGGAGGUUGAAGAUAGCGCACACCAGGCAAGCGGAGAAACCGUUCUCCCCAACAGCCAGGAACUGUUUAUCACCCCGGAGACAGUACCGUCCCAACCCAGGCUCCCGGACCUUGAAGGCAGAGAAGGCACCUCUGGAGAGUGAUAUCAUUCAUGGUCACCUGGUUGAAAUAGGGGAAUUUUAUUCAGAGGACAUCAGAGGUGCCCGUUCCUGCUGGGAUGUUUGCCUGUGGCUGAAAAGAAAUCAUCCCCCCUGUUAGCUACACAGAUCUGGAAGCAAUCAUCCCAGAGAAUUGGCUGCAAAUGUUUCAACGCUGUGACUAGCAUCUCCAUCCCAGAGGCUAGCGCAGAUGAGAAGGUGAAAAAAUCACAUUCUCGUUUAAAUGUUCUCUGAGCUCAUGCAGUCCACCCAAACUGAACGCAUGGAGGCAGACAAUGGCAGAGUCCAGGAAAGCA
This is a long non-coding RNA of Chelonia mydas (Green sea turtle), 769 nucleotides long. RefSeq lists it as uncharacterized. Lineage: Eukaryota; Metazoa; Chordata; Testudines; Cheloniidae. The transcript is spliced from 5 exons. The record is from RefSeq and is a predicted model, not a curated record.